UUAGGAGUUGUGUAGGAGGUCAGGUCUCAAAUCAAAUUGAGUGUUUAACAUCUUCACACUACGUGUUUGAAGAUAACAAAUUUUGUACCCUCUCGAGGUCAGAUUUCAAUUUCCCAUACACAUAACUUGUGUGUCAUCGAGGGGAUCAAAUUGUAACAUAUCUAUAUACUAUUAACAAAUUAUAGGAGUUGAACCAAUAUGAACUAUUAUGAUAUUCAUUGUUAUUACUUUAACAUUUGAAAAUCCUUGUCCGAA
This 255-nucleotide long non-coding RNA is filed under the name Phaseolus vulgaris (common bean). Its description in RNAcentral is "long non-coding RNA (PVUL_LNC004102)". The record is from RNAcentral. Lineage: Eukaryota; Viridiplantae; Streptophyta; Magnoliopsida; Fabales; Fabaceae.